This 119-nucleotide ribosomal RNA is filed under the name Pteropus alecto (black flying fox). Lineage: Eukaryota; Metazoa; Chordata; Mammalia; Chiroptera; Pteropodidae. The record is from RNAcentral.
GUCUACAGCCAUGCCACUCUGAACAAGCCUGAUCCCGUCUGAUCUCGGAAGCUAAGCAGGGUUGGGCCUGGUUAGUACUUGGAUGGGAGACCACCUAGGAAGACCAGGUGCUGUAGGCA